UACGGGGGGGGCAAGCGUUGUUCGGAAUUACUGGGCGUAAAGGGCUCGUAGGCGGCCAACUAAGUCAGACGUGAAAUCCCUCGGCUUAACCGGGGAACUGCGUCUGAUACUGGAUGGCUUGAGGUUGGGAGAGGGAUGCGGAAUUCCAGGUGGUAGCGGUGAAAUUCGUAGAUAUCGGGAGGAACACCGGUGGCGAAGGCGGCCAUCUGGCUGGUAACUGACGCUGAGACGGCGAAAGCGUGGGUAGCAAAC
This 252-nucleotide ribosomal RNA is filed under the name uncultured bacterium. Its description in RNAcentral is "partial 16S ribosomal RNA". It matches the Rfam family "Bacterial small subunit ribosomal RNA", at positions 524 to 773 of the family's 1533-position model. The record is from RNAcentral.